Molecule: ribosomal RNA, 497 nt
Filed under: uncultured bacterium
Lineage: Bacteria
Description: partial 16S ribosomal RNA
Rfam family: Bacterial small subunit ribosomal RNA
Source: RNAcentral
GACGAACGCUGGCGGCGUGCCUAAUACAUGCAGGUAGAACGCUGAAGCUUGGUGCUUGCACCGAGCGGAUGAGUUGCGAACGGGUGAGUAACGCGUAGGUAACCUGCCUGGUAGCGGGGGAUAACUAUUGGAAACGAUAGCUAAUACCGCAUAAGAGUAGAUGUUGCAUGACAUUUGCUUAAAAGGUGCAAUUGCAUCACUACCAGAUGGACCUGCGUUGUAUUAGCUAGUUGGUGAGGUAACGGCUCACCAAGGCAACGAUACAUAGCCGACCUGAGAGGGUGAUCGGCCACACUGGGACUGAGACACGGCCCAGACUCCUACGGGAGGCAGCAGUAGGGAAUCUUCGGCAAUGGACGGAAGUCUGACCGAGCAACGCCGCGUGAGUGAAGAAGGUUUUCGGAUCGUAAAGCUCUGUUGUAAGAGAAGAACGAGUGUGAGAGUGGAAAGUUCACACUGUGACGGUAUCUUACCAGAAAGGGGCGGCUAACUACGUG